This is a long non-coding RNA of Sphaeramia orbicularis (orbiculate cardinalfish), 83 nucleotides long. RefSeq lists it as uncharacterized. The record is from RefSeq and is a predicted model, not a curated record. The transcript is spliced from 3 exons. Lineage: Eukaryota; Metazoa; Chordata; Actinopteri; Kurtiformes; Apogonidae.
AUUGCUUUCCAUUUUAAAACGUGCUAUUUCAUCUUAAACUGGAGAAAAUUAGAUUUGUGAUGAAGGGUUCUGGAGAGAAGUUC